UACGAAGGGGGCGAGCGUUGUUCGGAAUUAUUGGGCGUAAAGAGCUCGUAGGCGGUCUGUCGCGUCGGAUGUGAAAACCCAGGGCUCAACCCUGGGCCUGCAUUCGAUACGGGCAGACUAGAGUUCGGUAGGGGAGACUGGAAUUCCUGGUGUAGCGGUGAAAUGCGCAGAUAUCAGGAGGAACACCGGUGGCGAAGGCGGGUCUCUGGGCCGAAACUGACGCUGAGGAGCGAAAGCGUGGGGAGCAAACAGG
RNAcentral lists this ribosomal RNA (253 nucleotides) under uncultured bacterium. Its description in RNAcentral is "partial 16S ribosomal RNA". It matches the Rfam family "Bacterial small subunit ribosomal RNA", at positions 524 to 776 of the family's 1533-position model. The record is from RNAcentral.